AGUGGGAUAGUUGGGUCAAAUGAUGGUUCCAUUCCAAGUUUUCUAAAGAAUUUCCAUACUACUUUCCAAAGUGGUUGCACCAUUUGGCAGUCUCAUCAGCAGU
RNAcentral lists this microRNA precursor (103 nucleotides) under Marmota monax (woodchuck). The record is from RNAcentral. Lineage: Eukaryota; Metazoa; Chordata; Mammalia; Rodentia; Sciuridae.